Molecule: long non-coding RNA, 441 nt
Organism: Eucalyptus grandis
Lineage: Eukaryota; Viridiplantae; Streptophyta; Magnoliopsida; Myrtales; Myrtaceae
Exons: 3
Source: RefSeq, a predicted model, not a curated record
AGACCAAAAUGGGAAGGUGGCCAGUAUGAUGGUGAUGACAAGCCUCGAUUGGAGACCCUUCGAUUAGCAAUGGAGUUGGGGGCUGAUUAUAUUGAUGUUGAGCUUAAGGUUGCAAGUGAGUUCAACGAUCUAUACAAGGAAGAAAGCCGGAGAAGUGCAAAGUUAUAGUUUCUUCUCACAACUAUGAGAACACUCCCUCUGCUGAGGACCUCAGCAACCUUGUGGCAAGAAUCCAGGCAGCAGGUGCAGACAUAGUGAAGAUUGCUACAACUGCCUUGGAUAUUACUGAUGUUGCACGGAUGUUCCACAUAACCGUGCAUUCCCAAGUAAGCAGCGUUCCAGUAAUAGCCAUGGUAAUGGGCGAAAGGGGUUUGAUUUCACGGGUUCUUGUGCAAAGUUUGGUGGUUUUCUCACCUUUGGUACACUUGAGUCGGGAGUAGU